AACGAACGCUGGCGGCAUGCCUAACACAUGCAAGUCGAACGAGACCUUCGGGUCUAGUGGCGCACGGGUGCGUAACGCGUGGGAACCUUCCCUUAGGUUCGGAAUAACUCCCCGAAAGGGGUGCUAAUACCGGAUAAUGUCUUCGGCCCAAAGAUUUAUCGCCUUUGGAUGGGCCCGCGUUGGAUUAGCUAGUUGGUAGGGUAAAAGCCUACCCAGGCGACGAUCCAUAGCUUGUCUGAGAGGAUGAUCAGCCACACUGGGACUGAGACACGGCCCAGACUCCUACGGGAGGCAGCAGUGGGGAAUAUUGGACAAUGGGCGAAAGCCUGAUCCAGCAAUGCCGCGUGAGUGAUGAAGGCCUUAGGGUUGUAAAGCUCUUUUACCCGGGAUGAUAAUGACAGUACCGGAAGAAUAAGCUCCGGCUAACUCCGUG
RNAcentral lists this ribosomal RNA (433 nucleotides) under uncultured bacterium. RNAcentral describes it as "partial 16S ribosomal RNA". It matches the Rfam family "Bacterial small subunit ribosomal RNA", at positions 29 to 507 of the family's 1533-position model. The record is from RNAcentral.